UGGGGAAUCUUGCGCAAUGGGCGAAAGCCUGACGCAGCAACGCCGCGUGGGGGAUGAAGGCUUUCGGGUUGUAAACCCCUUUCAGCAGGGACGAUUGUGACGGUACCUGCAGAAGAAGGACCGGCCAACUACGUGCCAGCAGCCGCGGUAAUACGUAGGGUCCAAGCGUUGUCCGGAUUUAUUGGGCGUAAAGAGCUCGUAGGCGGUUCGCUAAGUCGGAUGUGAAAACUCGGGGCUCAACCCCGAGACGCCAUCCGAUACUGGCGUGACUUGAGUCUGGUAGGGGAGAUCGGAAUUCCUGGUGUAGCGGUGAAAUGCGCAGAUAUCAGGAGGAACACCGGUGGCGAAGGCGGAUCUCUGGGCCAGUACUGACGCUGAGGAGCGAAAGCGUGGGGAGCAAACAGGAUUAGAUACCCCCGUAGUCC
Molecule: ribosomal RNA, 425 nt
Filed under: uncultured bacterium
Lineage: Bacteria
Description: bacterial SSU rRNA
Rfam family: Bacterial small subunit ribosomal RNA
Source: RNAcentral